CACGGGGGGAACGCGAAGAACCUUACCAAAUCUUGACAUCCUCUGACAGCCAUAGAGAUAUGGUUUCCCUUCGGGGCAGAGUGACAGGUGGUGCAUGGUUGUCGUCAGCUCGUGUCGUGAGAUGUUGGGUUAAGUCCCGCAACGAGCGCAACCCUUAUUGUUAGUUGCCAUCAUUCAGUUGGGCACUCUAGCGAGACUGCCGCAGACAAUGCGGAGGAAGGUGGGGAUGACGUCAAAUCAUCAUGCCCCUUAUGACCUGGGCUACACACGUGCUACAAUGGAGAGUACAACGAGUCGCGAAGUCGUGAGGCUAAGCUAAUCUCUUAAAGCUCUUCUCAGUUCGGAUUGUAGGCUGCAACUCGCCUACAUGAAGCCGGAAUCGCCAGUAAUCGCGGAUCAGCACGCCGCGGUGAAUACGUUCCCGGGUCUUGUACACACCG
This 440-nucleotide ribosomal RNA is filed under the name uncultured Enterococcus sp. RNAcentral's name for it is "bacterial SSU rRNA". It matches the Rfam family "Bacterial small subunit ribosomal RNA", at positions 950 to 1392 of the family's 1533-position model. Lineage: Bacteria; Bacillati; Bacillota; Bacilli; Lactobacillales; Enterococcaceae. The record is from RNAcentral.